This 27-nucleotide non-coding RNA is filed under the name Homo sapiens (human). Lineage: Eukaryota; Metazoa; Chordata; Mammalia; Primates; Hominidae. The record is from RNAcentral.
UCUGCCAGAAUCAGCUGUGCUGGUGUG